GAUCUACCCUUGGGCAGGUUGAAGCUGUGGUAACACAUAGUGGAGGACCGAACCCGUUGACGUUGAAAAGUCUUGGGAUGACCUGAGGGUAGGGGUGAAAGGCCAAUCAAACUCGGAAAUAGCUCGUACUCCCCGAAAUGCAUUUAGGUGCAGCGUUGAUUUAAAGUUUUAUAGAGGUAGAGCUACUGAUUGGAUGCGGGGGCUUCACCGCCUACCAAUUCCUGACAAACUCCGAAUGCUAUAAAAUGUUGAUCAGCAGUGAGGGCAUGGGUGCUAAGGUCCAUGUCCGAGAGGGAAAGAACCCAGACCAUCAGCUAAGGUCCCCAAAUGUAUAUUAAGUUGAAGAAACGCGGUUGAACUGCCCAGACAGCUAGGAUGUUGGCUUGGAAGCAGCCAUUCAUUUAAAGAGUGCGUAACAGCUCACUAGUCGAGCGGUUCGGCAUGGAUAAUAAUCGGGCAUAAAUAUACUACCGAAGCUAUGGAUUUCAUAUUUAAGUAUAUGGAGUGGUAGGGGAGCAUUGUAAUGGGGUUGAAGGUGUGCUGUCAGGCAUGCUGGACUAAUUACAAAAGAAAAUGUAGGCAUAAGUAACGAUAAUGCGGGCGAGAAACCCGCACACCGAAAGACUAAGGUUUCCUCAGCUAUGCUAAUCAGCUGAGGGUUAGUCGGGACCUAAGGCGACCCCGAAUGGGUUAGUCGAUGGACAACAGAUUAAUAGUUCUGUACCUGCCCCACGAUAAAAGUGACGGAGGCGAAAAGUUAGUGCGUACUGACGGAAUAGUACGUUGAAGCCAGUGGUAACACGGCAAUAGUACACAAAAGCUUCGGCCGGCGUGAUAAUCUAGCAAAUCGACUUCCAAGAAAAGCGAGUGGUGGCAGCCCGUACCGUAAACCGACACAGGUAGUUGGGAUGAGAAUUCUAAGGUGCUCGAGAGAUUCAUGGCUAAGGAACUAGGCAAAAUAGACCCGUAACUUCGGGAGAAGGGUCGCCCAUCUUCGGAUGGGCCGCAGUGAAGAGGUCCAGGCGACUGUUUAUCAAAAACACAGGGCUCUGCUAAAUCGAAAGAUGAUGUAUAGGGCCUGACACCUGCCCGGUGCUGGAAGGUUAAGAGGAGAUGUUAGCUUCGGCGAGGCAUUGAAUUGAAGCCCCAGUAAACGGCGGCCGUAACUAUAACGGUCCUAAGGUAGCGAAAUUCCUUGUCGGGUAAGUUCCGACCUGCACGAAUGGUGCAACGAUCUGGACACUGUCUCAGCCAUGAGCUCGGUGAAAUUGUAGUAUCGGUGAAGAUGCCGAUUACCCGCUGUGGGACGAAAAGACCCCGUGCACCUUUACUAUAGCUUAGUAUUGACUUUGGACAAGUGAUGUGUAGGAUAGGUGGGAGACGUUGAAGCAGCAUCGCCAGGUGUUGUGGAGUCAUUGUUGAAAUACCACCCUUUACUUGUUUGAAGCCUAACCCCUGAACAAGGGGGACAAUGCUUGGUGGGUAGUUUGACUGGGGUGGUCGCCUCCAAAAGAGUAACGGAGGCUUCUAAAGGUUCCCUCAGCACGCUUGGUAACCGUGCGUAGAGUGCAAUGGCAAAAGGGAGCUUGACUGAGAGACAUACAGGUCGAUCAGGUACGAAAGUAGAGCAUAGUGAUCCGGUGGUUCCGCAUGGAAGGGCCAUCGCUCAAAGGAUAAAAGGUACGCCGGGGAUAACAGGCUGAUCUCCCCCAAGAGCUCACAUCGACGGGGGGGUUUGGCACCUCGAUGUCGGCUCGUCACAUCCUGGGGCUGGAGAAGGUCCCAAGGGUUGGGCUGUUCGCCCAUUAAAGUGGCACGCGAGCUGGGUUCAGAACGUCGUGAGACAGUUCGGUCUCUAUCUACAGUGGGCGUUAGAAAUUUGAGUGGAUCUGACUCUAGUACGAGAGGACCGAGUUGGACUGACCUCUGGUGCACCAGUUGUUCCGCCAGGAGCAUUGCUGGGUAGCUACGUCGGGAAGGGAUAAGCGCUGAAAGCAUAUAAGCGCGAAACCCACCACAAGAUGAGAUUUCUUUAAAGGAUCGUGGGAGACUACCACGUUGAUAGGUCACAGGUGUAAAGGCAGUAAUGUCAUAGCCGAGUGAUACUAAUAAUCCGUAAAGCUUAGUGC
This 2129-nucleotide ribosomal RNA is filed under the name Gillisia limnaea DSM 15749. Its description in RNAcentral is "bacterial LSU rRNA". It matches the Rfam family "Bacterial large subunit ribosomal RNA", at positions 727 to 2925 of the family's 2925-position model. Lineage: Bacteria; Pseudomonadati; Bacteroidota; Flavobacteriia; Flavobacteriales; Flavobacteriaceae. The record is from RNAcentral.